This 303-nucleotide long non-coding RNA is filed under the name Homo sapiens (human). RNAcentral's name for it is "HSALNT0013633". The record is from RNAcentral. Lineage: Eukaryota; Metazoa; Chordata; Mammalia; Primates; Hominidae.
AAGUUUCGAUUGAUCUCAGCGACCGACCGGCAGCCUAAAAGAACAAUGUGGUUACAAGCUCAUUUUUGUCAAACACAAGCAACUCACCUCAUCAUGGGGUGGCACAACUAGAAAGGCUCUCCACUGCAAAGGCACUAAGUCUUUUUGGCAAGACAAGUACACUUGACCAUGGCCUGCAUGUCUGGAUUGCAUCCUGACUUGGGAAACUGGGUUGAACAUUAUUUCUCAUGCACCACUUGACCAACUUGUCCCUGACUUCCUCAUGGCGUAUCUGAGAAAAUGAGAUAGGACUAAAGUACAACA